GCAGGUCGAGCCAGGUAGACCCGACGUCUGCUCACCUCAUUGUCACUUCUCAGAGAUGCCUUCCCUUAACACCCCCCACCCCCACCGGCUUGUGCUAUCUACAUUGGGGAGAGGGAAAUGAGAUCACUUGUCAAGAAAUGUACAUUUUCUCAGAAGACCUUGAUGCCACGGAAGCAGCAAGGCACAAAACCAUAAAUGACGGACGGCUGAAGCACAUGGGCUCAGAGCUUAAGUUUCCGGGAAAGGAAAGCGGGCGGUGGGUCAAUAACGUCGGAGUCCUCCCUGGCUCCCUGGCCCAAGGCAAAGCCCCUGACCACGGUCCUGACGUUGGCAACACCAGCUCCUUCUUCCUGAACGUUUGCCUGGUUCUGCCGCGAGGCUGGAGUAGACAGUUUCAACCUCCCAGGAACUCCGCAGUACUCUCUGUCUGUGCAGGUCAGGAAACUGAGGCUCAGAAUGAUGGAACAGUUGAUCCAAGUUCACAGAACGACAGAGGAUAGCAAGGCUGGACUUGAAGCCGUCCAUGCCCCGUGUUAACUCCUAGACCAUGUCGCCUGCCCUUCACCCACCGCUGCAGCAGAAAGGCCCCCUCAUUCCUGCGCUUGACUCCAGAAAAACCUUGGCCUUAUCUUCUCAGGGAGGCCUGGCGGAGCACCCAAACGACCACCAAAAUGGUUUAGGCUGUUUGCAGGAGGCCGCGGCCCCGCCGUCUCCACUGCGCUCCUCCAGGCUUUCCCCGCCCGGCUCCAGCCUCAGGAAGUGGCGCCGCGGAGAACCGCUCCUCCAGCCUCGCCUCCUGCGGAGAGUGUCCUCCCCGGGAGCGUUUCCUGACCUAAUUAAGCCGGGUAAUGAGUAGCUAAGAGGAAGGGCAUAAAAGCCCUAGGCGGCUUAGAGCCGGGACACUUUAUGACGGGGGCAUCUGCAGCUGGUGACACUCUUAGGAAAGUUAUUUCUCAUAAUCCUGGGAAGUGGCACACUGUUGCCACAGCAGAGCGAGCCCUGAGGUGCUCAAAAUUGCAUCCUGGAAAAUACCGAGUGUCCCAGAAGCCCUGGCCUAGAGGACCAGGAAGACUGACAGCAGCUGGCCUAACUGGGUCCCUCAAAGGCCAGAAGUUGACUGUUUCUACCCCCAGCCUCUGCCCCAAGAACUCGAGACCCACCCCAACGCCUCACGCACAGCCUACUACCAAUUCACCUUCUGCUCUUGCACUGUGUCUGUUUUGUUCAUUUGUUUAAAUCAUUUCACAUUCACUCUUGAGUUGGCCACCCCCCACCCCACCCCCACCCCUGCUGCUGUGUGUUGGGGAGGAGCACCCAGUCAGGGCCUGGGCUCUGGAGUGGGUUCCAUCACUAAAGCCCCUGAGUGAGCUUGCUGGCAACAACAUGUGACCUCUCAGCCAUCAUUCUCCCACGUGUAAAAUGAGGGUCUUGGUGCUGCCUUGCCUCCAAUAUGCUUUGAGCCCACAAUCUUCACCCCGUGAGCAGUGGGAAACAUAAUGUGUGAUGGGGGAACACAAGGCUAGCUGAGGACAAGGCACGAGCCUAGAGCAGCACAUUGACAAGUCCUUGAAAGAGGCAGAGGGACUCUACGGACUCAGCUGCCUCGAUGUUCAUGCUUUGCUAAGGGCAGGAGACAAUCCUAGCCUGACCCCUAUGACCCUGAGAGUCUACUUUAACAUAUAAAAAUUCCUUCAGAAAUUUCCUUUAUGUCCAAACCCCCAAUAUACGUGUUGGCAAUCAUCCCCCAAGCACAUGGCCCACCGACAUACAUCUGAAGGGUCUCAUGACUCAGGUUUUAUUAGACGGUAAUAAGUGACCUUUUCCCAAUGAAAGCCAGCCCCCUCAAGGUCCUGGAAACCUUGCUUCCAAAAUUCCUUAGAGAGUACACGAUGCUGAAACCCCUCCCAACUCCCAGGUCUAUAAUCUGCCACAGGCCCCGGGGCAGCAGUCCUUCCUACCCACGGGUCCUGUCCCCUGUGCUUUAAUAAAACCACCAUU
Long non-coding RNA from Canis lupus familiaris (dog), 1998 nucleotides. RefSeq lists it as uncharacterized. The transcript has 5 exons. Lineage: Eukaryota; Metazoa; Chordata; Mammalia; Carnivora; Canidae. The record is from RefSeq and is a predicted model, not a curated record.